RNAcentral lists this long non-coding RNA (1311 nucleotides) under Heterocephalus glaber (naked mole-rat). Its description in RNAcentral is "lncRNA (ENSHGLG00000038869.1)". Lineage: Eukaryota; Metazoa; Chordata; Mammalia; Rodentia; Bathyergidae. The record is from RNAcentral.
AGUGAAACUUGCGAAUCAGCUAAUAUUUCAUAGCCACAAUUCAAGUACAGAAAUCCCCCGGUUUCUGCUUUCUCCUUAGGUGUGUGGAUGUUACAAAAAUAUACCUACAAGCUUUGGGGCCAUGGAUCUUCUUAAUCUGAGCAGAAUCGUUCAUCUCUGUGUUCAUCUCACAGAGGUUACAGGCAUAUCCACUUAUGCAAGACGAGACCUCCUCUUCGAAUGGAGUGCCCCCAUACACGGAGGGUUAGCGCUGGGCUCAGAUCUGUUUCUCACAUAUUCUACACAGUGCAGAGCUCAGCACAUUUGCACCCAGGGUCCCGCUACACUGGGAUUUAAAGUAGACAUACAGGACAUAUUUAUCUGUGGAAAUACAGAAUGCAUCCAUUUUAGUUUAGCUUAAUAAUUUGAAAAACAAACUCUCUUUCCUUUUACUCCUGUCUUGUUUUGCUGUUUUCUUCUCUUCCAUCACCCCCUAAAUUUUCUCUCUUUUUUCCUGACAAGGACCCUGAUCCAGUCUCCCCCUCAAAGCGUCCCACUCACCGGCUGAUUCGGGCCAGGAUCCACCUCUGCUCUGCAAACCCUGGCCCCUUCCUCUGCUGCCCUGGACCCCAGCGUGGCCAGGGGCUGCUGCUUUUUCCUGUGCAGUCUUCCCAGGCCACUGGCCCCAGCUGUGUUCAGGCUCCGGUGCAGGACUGGCGCUGGUCUGGCGGGAGGCUGUGAGGCUGCCUCAAAGCCAGGACAGGGCAGGGAAAGCAGGAGGGUGGCAGUCAGAGCCUGGUGCCUGUACAGCUCGGCUCUUAAGGACAGCCCAGCGCCGUGACUUUUCCAUAAAUAAAAGGCCCAGCCCCACCGUUCCCAUGUCCUUUUGGGCCCUAAUUUAUAAGCUACAGAAAAUCAUAUACUCAGCCGCCAUGCUUCGUAACACCAUUAUUUAUGGCAGGGGAGGAGACUUCUUUUUUUUUUUUUUUUUGCCCGAAGAGGAUAUUUAUUACAGGUAAAGCCCACGGCACACUCCACACGUCUGACAAAUCGAGAACAGGUGCUUUGCCCUAACUUCGAUCCAUUCGCUCCAGACCCAGUUUUCUCGCUGGCGAGUCUGGGGAGCUCCCUGACUUCCCCAAGCCCCCAGAUGCUACUUAAAAGAAUUUCCAUUGGAUUUUGGUUUCUCCCCGCUUGGUCCUACGGAAAAAGCAGACCUUCACGCUGUUUGGUUCCAGAUCUGCGGGCCCAUCGCCCUCGGAGAGAGCUUGGGUUAGGAGGGGGCCAGCUGGGCGCCAGCAUUGAUCUUUAAAAAAUCAUUUUGAAAUCGCC